UAAGCGAGUGAUGAAAUUUUGAGGCUCAACCUCAAAACUGUUUCUCGAACUGGCAAACUAGAGUAUAUGAGGGGUACCUGGAAUUCCUAGUGUAGGAGUGAAAUCCGUAGAUAUUAGGAGGAACACCAAUGGCGAAGGCAGGGUACUGGCAUAUUACUGACGCUAAGGCACGAAAGCGUGGGGAGCGAACCGGAUUAGAUACCCGGGUAGUCCACGCCGUAAACGAUGGAUGCUG
RNAcentral lists this ribosomal RNA (235 nucleotides) under uncultured Candidatus Saccharibacteria bacterium. Its description in RNAcentral is "partial 16S ribosomal RNA". It matches the Rfam family "Bacterial small subunit ribosomal RNA", at positions 584 to 818 of the family's 1533-position model. The record is from RNAcentral. Lineage: Bacteria; Candidatus Saccharimonadota.